AUAUACACAGUACUAUAUAUAAAACAGAUAACUAAUAAGGACCUACUGUACAGCAUAGGGAACUCUACUCAAUACUCUGUAAUGUCUUAUAUGGGAAAAGAGUCUAAAAAAGAGUGGAUGUAUGUAUAUGUAUAACUGAUUCACUUUGCUGUACACCUGAACCUAACACAACAUUGUAAGUUAACUAUACUCCAAUAAAAAUUAAAUAAAAAAGUAAGCAAAAGGAGACAGGGAAAGAGAAAAAAAGAACAAAAAACAGAUGCAACAAAUAGAAAAGAGCUACCAUUAAACGUAAAUAGUUAAAAUGUACCAAUUAAUAAGUGACAUUGUCAGAUUGGAUAUAAAAGCAAAACUCAAGUAUAUACUGACUGUAAGAAAUCCAUUUUAAAUAUGAAGACAUACAUAGGUUAAAAGAUACUAAUAAAAAAAAAACCGGAGUGGCUCCAGUGCAUGGCCAGUUGCCAAAGAUAUAGAAGAACAUUACAGUUCUCCAUGAAGCUAUCACAAUCCUACAUGUGUGCAUGGGCUUCAGAGUACAUGAAGCAAAUGCUAACAAAAAUGAAAGGAGAAAGACACAUUCAUUAUGGAUGGAGACUGCCACUUUUCCCUUAGGAAACGACAGAACAAUUAGAAAAUCAGCAAAGAUAUAGAAAACUGAACUAUGUUAUCAGAGACCUUGAAUCAAUGGACAUUUAUGGAACCCAACAACAGCAGAACACACAUUCUUUUCAAGACCCCAUGGAAUAUUCACCAAGGUGGAACAUAUUCUUAGCCAACCUUCACAGAUUUAAAAGAAUAGAAAUCGUAAAAAGUUUGUUCUCAGACCAUAACUAAAUAAAACUAUGUACCCAUAACCAAGAAAGAUAUUUGGAGAAUCCUCAACUAUUUGCAAUUUAAACAGUGUGCUUCUAAAUAAUCCUAUCGGUCCCUAAUCCCUGUCCACCACUGUGAAGGUUAAUGUUAUGUAUCAACGUGCCUGGGCUAGGGGAUGUCCAGAGAGCUGGUACACAUAAUGUCUGGGUGUGUCUGGGAGGUGGUCCUGGUAAAGAUUAGCAUUGGAAUUGAUAGACUGGGUACAGAGAACUGCCCUCACCAACAUGGGCAGGCAGCAUCCGUUCCAUGGAGGGAUCGAAUAGCACAAAAGAGCCAAGGAAGGAGGAAUUUGCUCUCUUUGAGCUGGGACAUUGAUCUUCUCCUGCCCGCAGACAUCGGUGCUACUGGUUCUUGGGCGUUUGGACUCAGACUGAAUUACACCACUGGCUUUCCUGGUUCUUCAGCUCGCAGUUGGCAGAUGGUAGAACUUGGCCUCCAUAAUUAUGUGAACAAAUUCCUAUAAUAAAUCUCCUCUUAUAUAUGUAUCUGUAUGUAUCCCAUAGGUUCUGUAUCUCUGGACAUCCCUGACUAAGAGAACUACUCAUCUGUUUUCCAUCUCUAUAAUUUUGUCAUUUCAAGAAUGCUAUAGAUCUAGAAUUAAACAGAAUGCAGUCUUUGGGAAUUGGUUUUUUCCCUUCAGCAUAAUUCCCUUGAGAUCCACCCAAGUAAUUGCAUGAGUCAUAGUCAUUCAUUUUUAUUGCUGAGUAGGAUUCUGUGGCAUAGACGGUAUGUUGAACCAUGCACCCGGGAAAGACAUUUGGGUUGUUUCCAGUUUUUGGAUAUUACAGAUAAAGCGGCUAUAAACAUUUGUGUACAAGCUUUUGUGUGACCAUAACUUUUCAUUUUUCUGGGAUAAAUGCCCAGGAUUACAAUUGCUAGGUUAUAUGGUAAGUGAUGUUUCCUUUUAUAAGAAGCUGCCAAACUGUUUUCCAGAGUCACUGAACCAUUUUUACAUUCUCACCAGCAAUACAGGAGCAAUCUGGUUAUUCCACAUCCUCUCCAGCAUUUGGUGUCGUCAGUUUUUAAGAUUUUAGUCAUUCUGACAGGUGUGUAGGGACGUCUUACAGUGGUUCUAAUGUUGACCAUCUUUUCAUGUGCUUAUUUGCCAUCCAUAUAUCCUCUUUGGUAAAAUGUCUGUUCAUGUCUUUUCCCAUUUUUUAUUUGGAUGGUUUGGAGAUUUUUUUUGCUAUUGAGUUUUGAGGGGUCUUUGUAUAUUUUAGAUGUAAGUCCUUUGUUGAUAGGUGGUUUUCAGAUAUUUUCUCCCAGUCUAUAACUUGUCUUUCCUUCUUUCUUCCUUCCCUCCCUUCCUGUCCCCCCCCCUCUUUUUCUCUUUGCAGAGCAGAGGUCCAAGUUAUUAAUUUCAUCUUUUUGGGGGGAUCAUUCCAAUCCCAAAAGACUGCAUUCUCUGUAUGAUUCCAGUUAUGCAACAUGCUGGAAAUGACAAAAUUCUAGAGAUGAACAACAGAUUUGUGGUUCUAUUAGUCAGGGAUCUCCAGAGACACAGAACAAACAGGAGACAUAUAUAAGAACUCUUGGGGCUUCCCUGGUGGCGCAAUGGUUGAGAAUCUGCCUGACAAUGCAGGGGACACGGGUUCGAUCCCUGGUCCGGGAAGAUCCCACCUGCCACGGAGCAACAAAGCCCAUGUGCCACAACUACUGAGCCUGUGCUGUAGAGCCUGCGAGCCACAACUACUGAGCCUGCAUGCCACAACUACUGAAGCCUGCACGCCUAGAGCCUGUGCUCCGCAACAAGAGAAGCCACCGCAAUGAGAAGCCUGCACACUGCAAUGAAGAGUAGCCCCCCCUGUGCCGCAACUAGAGAAAGCCCGUGUGCAGCAACGAAGACCCAAUGCAGCCAAAAAUAAAUGAAUAAAAAAAAAUAAAUUUAUAUUAAAAAAACCCAACUCUUCACCUACCUCUAGGUCCAUAGUUGUGCAUUUUACAUUUACUUUAUGGUUAAUUUUGAGUUAAUUUUUGUAUAAAUGAGGUUUGGGUUUAAGUUUUUGUUUUUUUUUUUGCUUAUGGAUGUCCACUCACUUCAUCACCAUUUGUUUGAAAAGACUAUCCAUCCUCUAUUGAAUUUAUUUUGUUUCUCUGUCAAAAUCAUAUUUUGUGGGGUUAUUCCUGGGUUCCAUAUUCUGUUCCAUUGAUCUCUGUGUCUAACUCUCCGUCAAUACCAGGUACUGUGUCAGGAGCUCUACAUUCAUUACUUACAAGUCUUACACCAGCUACAGGAUUUUUGCUCCAACUUUACAGAAGAGGAGGUGAAACUCUGGUACCUAAGUGACUCCAAGCCAAAGCUGGAGCUGUGAUUGAAAAGCAGGUGUCUUGGUGCUGGAGACACAAAGAUGAGAAAGACAGGACAUCUGGCUUCAAGACAUCCAGGAUCUGGCCAGUGAAGAACAGGAGCCUCCGAAGGGUGGUCCUUGUCAUCCUUCUCCUCUCCCUGCUCCCACCCCCACGGCAGCCUUGGCUGUGGCUCACCAGGGCCUGAGAACAACCUCCAGCGGGCCUGACAUAGAGUCCCUGGCUGCGCGAGAACCUUGCAUCCUUGCGCCUCUGGGAAAGAUCAGACUUGCUUUAUGAGGAUUUGCUUCAUGAGACCUCGAGGUGCAAAGCAAUGGCAGCCCUGUCCCCUCCACAAACGCAAGGAAAGUGACCCUUUCCCCACAAAAACGUCCCGAGAGACAAGACUCUGAGCGGACUCAGGUUAUCAGGAAGCCGGCCAUUUCUUCUGGAUACGUGUCCUCUCAUGCAUCAGACGCAGCCCUGGGGGACGGUGUUGAGGGGGGCUUCUCGGAGAGCAGAAGCAGGCUGUCACGCUGGCUGACCAAGAGGUUCCCUCCCCAUGUCCAGGGGGCAGGACAGGUGCCUGGGGCUUUGUUUUCCUUCUCUUCUGCAGGAGGAUCGAUGAAGGCCGUGUCCUGUUCUGACACCACCCAUCAGAAGCCUGCAGGUCCACAGGGAGCCUGGGGCAGCCUGAGGGAGAGACGGCACUUCAUAUGGAGAUGGGGGCUGGGCUGAUUCAGGAGUGGGGGAGAUGGCGGCUGGGGGUGCUCCUGGGGCCACUCUUUCUGUGGCUUAGACACCCUGGGGAGGCCUGGGGACCUGUGUCUGUGCCUCCUGCUCCCUCAUCUCUCCAGGCCCCGAUUUCCUCGUGAAAGACACUUGGCCAGUUCUUUCCGUGUAGCUGAGCACAGCUGGCAUCUCUCUGGAACUGAGUCUCAGGCUCCAGAGCUGAUGGUCCUUGGGGUGACGCAGGUGUUGGUGGACAACUGGACUCUUGGGCAUUUGAUCAGCAAGACCCAGCUCUCUGAAUUCGCAUCCCCCUGCAAGGCCAGGACAGAGCUCACGGCCUUGAAGUUCCACACAUGGCUCCUGGUCACGUAGGGGCCCUUCGAGAUAUUCUUGGGUCAAGAACCAACAAUGUCAAAGAUGACACCCCUCGUCUGGUCCCUGGGCCCUGGGGUGCAGGGUCUGAGCUAAGAGUUUGGAUGCCCCCAGAGACUCUUCCUCUUCUCCAACAGUGAGGGGCCUUUGCAGGUGUGGCCCAGGCCUCCAGGGGCCAUGCUCGAGGCUACAGCAGGAGCAGCAAAGGAACGGGGCGAGCGGUUCAGCAAGGCUGCCUGCACACCACGCGGGGAGGCAAGUUGGCUCUGCACGCCCAGGCCGAGUGUGUCUUUUAGUGGCAAGCUGCAAGCCUAGAAGGUGGCUGAAGAGGAAGGAGGCUGAUUGCAAAGACAAUGCAGGGAAUUUGCAUUUUUUUGGCACUUUCUGGUUUCUACAAGCCUUCUUGCUACCAUGAGUUCAUCUGAUUCUUAUAAUGUCCAGUAACAGGUGGUGGACCUGAGCUUCCUGGAGAGCUGAUGAGGGAGGCUUUCCCCGAGCAUCAUCAUGAAUUCCUGGACCGAAGCAACUUCAUCAUGUUUCUACUCUUUCCAGUGGUGGUCCUCACUGUCCCUCUCGUCCUGUAGGAGCCUCGUCCAUCAGCCCAGAAGCCCUUCUGACACUACCCUCGCGGUUUUUGAAGAUGCCUUGUUUCUUCCAGGACAAGAUGCGAUAGGAUCUUUGUGCAUACUUCCUGCCCCAGAUCUGGCCAUGCUCUUAGACACCGGAGUUUGGGGGCGAACAGGACCUGCUUGCAGCAGGGGAUGGCGGCAGGGGCUUGCCUGGAACAGAAGGUGAGGAGGCUGCAGGCAGGAUGGAGGGGCCUGGUCAUCUCCAACAUUCCUGAAACGCCCCACCUGCCCCGGGGGGCCUGCCUGCCCCACAAUGUUGAGAGUGUGGUGUGUGUGACAACCAGCCCUCUUCCUGUCUGAGCCAUGUCGGGUUUUGGUGACCUGCGGUCGAAGGGGCUCUAACCUGCAACCAGGAAACCCUGUGAACGGACGGAAGCCCCGCACGGCAGGGAAGGGCAGGAAGGAAGAGGAUGGUUUCCCACUAUCUUUCCUCUCACUGAGCAUCCUUGGUCCUCGUAGGCAAGGAUGCUAUGGGGGUGGUGACCUUAGUGUCUGUAAAGAGCUUCCUGGGAGGCUCCCUGGGGGCAGAGUGCAACGCAGCUUGAAGGCACAGAGCUGGAGACUUUCUGGAAGGCGGAGUGAAAAGCCCCGGGCCAGGCCGAGGUCUCAGUUCAGCAGGGUCAGAAGGCUCCUGCCAGCUUUGGGGUGGGGGGGUUCUGGCACAGAACCAGGGCUCUAGGAGAGAAAGCCUCUGGGCAUGAAACUUCCUGGUGGCAUUUAGAUGGGGGGGGGACAGCAGCGUGCCAUCAAGUCAGCCGCGUGGCGCCAGGUCUGUCUCUCAGCAGGACCGCCCCCGCCCCGGCUCUUCCUCCUGUGGGGGCGUGGCCACGGCCAGGACCGCCAGACGCAUGCGCCACCCUCACCCAGGCAGCCCGGAACCUGACAUCCACGGGCGGUACACAGCGGCCCUGGGAGCAAGGCUGCUUCUCUCUCUGCGUUGAAAGAGAAUGGAUUUUCUCCUAAGGAGCACAGCACUGACAGCCUCACGCACCACCGCUUUUUAGGGAAUUAAGAACCUAACAGCUAACGUGGUUUAUUUCCAGAUGAGGACCCAAGUUGGUAAAGAACUCAUUUUUGCACUUUUGCUCUUCCCCAGAUGAGUGGUCAUUGCUGGUGAAAUAAAGAGGAGAGUCCAGAUGGAACUGCCUGGAAACAUCACAUCCUCUCCCUGAUUCAGAGCUGGCUCACUGAACCCCCACCCAUCACCUCACCCCCUUCUUCCUCCACUGCACUCAUUUCUCAGGCUGCUCUGAAGCCGGGAAACUGCAAGUAUAGAGCUCAGCCUUAGUAAGAUGCCAGCACGUGUCGAGGGAAGGUGUUCUUCCCAACUGAAAUGACAAAGUUUCAAGAAGAGAGGCAUUUGGUCCAGCCUGGAAUAUGGAUGUGAUGCCUGGAGCUGCAGCACCUAUUCUAUGACCAUAAGGCUGAAACCACACAAUAAGGAUGGUGGAGCAGGGAGAGGCUGGAGCCUGAGUACCUGAGAAUGCCUAGAGCUGAUGCACCAGCCCUGGACCACCUACCUCAGGACUCCCUGUUAGAGAAGCAGCUGCAGCAGCCAUUUUCUCCUUUGAGCCCCUUGCAUCCCAAUGCUAUUCUGAACUAUCUUCUUUUGGGGGCUAAUAUCAUGGCCUUCUGUGGUUGCUUCCAUUUUCUUGGCAUCAUAAAGGCUGAGAAGAGAGACUGAGUCUGUUCCCUGAGCAGGUUCCUGACGUCUUCUCAGCUUCUCCCCACCAUCCUCAACCACUGGGUAACAAUGGCAGAAUUGCUAGGAUCUGGUAUUUGCAGAAAGCCCCCGACAGCCUCUACCGUCGGGCUGGAAGGUAGGACAGUGCCCCACAGGAACCCUGGGGUAGGCUUCCUCUGGUGAUGGCUCCCCGGACAAUGUCUGCUCUGUUCCUCCUGCCCAUGGCAGGUCCUUUCAGGGAGAUGCUGGGCACUAAUGGUGGCCAGGAAGGGAGCCAGUCAAGGCCUUUAGGUUUAUCUUAGAAGCAACAUUUAAGGAUCAGGGGACAGGCCUGGCUUUGGGACAGGCAAUGUCAUUCCCAGGAGUGACUGAGGACUUCAGUGUGUGGAAGUGACCAUGGUGGUCACUUCAUAAUUAAGUGGUGAUGUCCUUACAUGUGUCAAAUGAAAAGAGACCAAAUGGGAGAGUGGGCGGAAAGGAAGAGGA
Globicephala melas (long-finned pilot whale) is the source of this 7062-nucleotide long non-coding RNA. RefSeq lists it as uncharacterized. The record is from RefSeq and is a predicted model, not a curated record. NCBI's taxonomy places the organism in Eukaryota, Metazoa, Chordata, Mammalia, Artiodactyla, Delphinidae.